AGAUAUUGAACUUGAAUAAGUAAAUGUUUUGAAAACAUUUUAUAGAAUUAAAAUUUUCUAUUAUCUU
RNAcentral lists this transfer RNA (67 nucleotides) under Hypsicera sp. ZJUH_2016019. Its description in RNAcentral is "tRNA-Ser". The record is from RNAcentral. Lineage: Eukaryota; Metazoa; Arthropoda; Insecta; Hymenoptera; Ichneumonidae.